GAUGAACGCUAGCUACAGGCUUAACACAUGCAAGUCGAGGGGCAGCGGGAUUGAAGCUUGCUUCAAUUGCCGGCGACCGGCGCACGGGUGAGUAACGCGUAUCCAACCUUCCGUACACUCAGGGAUAGCCUUUCGAAAGAAAGAUUAAUACCUGAUGGUAUCUUAAGCACACAUGUAAUUAAGAUUAAAGAUUUAUCGGUGUACGAUGGGGAUGCGUUCCAUUAGGUAGUAGGCGGGGUAACGGCCCACCUAGCCAACGAUGGAUAGGGGUUCUGAGAGGAAGGUCCCCCACAUUGGAACUGAGACACGGUCCAAAACUCCUACGGGAGGCAGCAGUGAGGAAUAUUGGUCAAUGGACGAGAGUCUGAACCAGCCAAGUAGCGUGAAGGAUGAAGGUCUUACGGAUUGUAAACUUCUUUUAUAAGGGAAUAAACCCUCCACGUGUGGGAGCUUGUAUGUACCUUAUGAAUAAGCAUCGGCUAAACUCCGUG
Molecule: ribosomal RNA, 491 nt
Filed under: uncultured bacterium
Lineage: Bacteria
Description: bacterial SSU rRNA
Rfam family: Bacterial small subunit ribosomal RNA
Source: RNAcentral